This 520-nucleotide ribosomal RNA is filed under the name uncultured bacterium. Its description in RNAcentral is "bacterial SSU rRNA". It matches the Rfam family "Bacterial small subunit ribosomal RNA", at positions 153 to 653 of the family's 1533-position model. The record is from RNAcentral.
GAAACUCGGGCUAAUACCGCAUACGUUCUCGGCGUCAUGGCGCCGAGAGGAAAGCUGGCCUAUUCUUGAAAGCUGGCACUCCUAGAGGGGCCCGCGGUCGAUUAGCUUGUUGGUGGGGUAACGGCCUACCAAGGCGACGAUCGAUAGCCGGCCUGAGAGGGCGAUCGGCCACACUGGGACUGAGACACGGCCCAGACUCCUACGGGAGGCAGCAGUGGGGAAUAUUGGACAAUGGGCGCAAGCCUGAUCCAGCAACGCCGCGUGGAGGACGAAGGCCUUCGGGUCGUAAACUCCUGUCAGUUGAGACGAAAAGCCGUCGGUCAAUAGCCGGCGGUCCUGACGGUACCAGCAGAGGAAGCCCCGGCUAACUCCGUGCCAGCAGCCGCGGUAAUACGGAGGGGGCUAGCGUUAUUCGGAAUUAUUGGGCGUAAAGGGCGCGCAGGCGGCUUGGUAGGUCAAAGGUGAAAUCCCUCAGCUCAACUGAGGAACUGCCUUUGAACCACCUCGCUAGAGGCUGGGA